GCUGUCACUUUUGAUCAAUUUAAUGCAUCCUUGCUAAAUAAAAGUAUUAAUUUCUUUCAAAAAAACAAAACAAACAAACAAACAAACAAAAAAAAAAACUUACUGACCCCAAUCUUAAUGGUAACAAUAAAAGUGAAUGAGAGUAAUGCUAUGGACAAUGUCCUUUUCAUUUUAGAUUAAGUAUUCUUCUCAAAAUCAUUGUAUAGGUUCCAUCAUGACUGCUAUGGGGCAUGUUGUCACAAAGAUUGUGUUAAUUUAACUAUAUUGAAGUAUAAUUUUUUUUGCUAGGCAUGAUCAAUAGCAUGUGUAGUCUAAACUUAUAAUAUAUAAAAAUAAUAAAAAACCCUGAGUACAUACAUUUUUGCUUUCAGAAGCUGUGUAACAGCAACAGGCAUAAAGUAACAUUAGAGAUGGCAGAGAGAUGAAUAAUAUCAUAUCAUGUGAGUCUUAGAGGAUCAGAUCUGUCUGGGUCACUGGCUCAAAUACACAAGCUCUUCCUCUGCCUGUCAGUCAGUCAGUCAGUCAGAGACUCUGAGAGAGUUUGUGCAGCAUCAGCCUCUGGGAGAGCGCCACAACAGCUGAAAUUAGACAUGGAUCCCAUAUUGAUCGGCAUAGUGACUGCCAACACAAGCUUAACUGUUGUCUACUGGAACUUUCUUCUGUCUCAGGUGUUCUGCAAGAAGAUCAAGGAUGGACCCAAACCUGAGAAAAUUACGGUCUAAAUCAAGGACUUGGUUGUGACCCCAACAAUGAAGAAGAGGAAGAAGAAAUAAAAUCUGCCAGAGGGAAAGAAGGAUGGAUGAGGAAGACAAAAUAUGAACAAAGGAGGAACCGACUACAUUUGACCCAGAAGUGGACGGACAGGAAUUCAACCAAGAUUUAAAUUCUCUGUAUCUGACAAUUCAUGAGGUUAAAAAGGUGUUACUGAAUUCAUUUAUGAACAACCCUCUCUCUCUUUCUUUCUUUCUUUCUUUCUUUCAUCCAUUAGUCCAUCUAAUCUUUCUUUGUAAGUGCUGCUCAUUGUAAUUUACCCAAAAAAUACAAAGCUUAUUAUGAGCUUUAAAGUCUGUUUAAAAAAAUUGUUUUUAUUCAUAUUUUUUUGCUAGAUUUAGCAAAAUAGAUGCACAGAUUUUGUCUAUAUCUGUCUUACUCUUUUGCAUGUGUCUUAUUCCUGCAAUAAAUGAUUACAACAUA
Long non-coding RNA from Megalobrama amblycephala (Wuchang bream), 1194 nucleotides. RefSeq lists it as uncharacterized. Lineage: Eukaryota; Metazoa; Chordata; Actinopteri; Cypriniformes; Xenocyprididae. The record is from RefSeq and is a predicted model, not a curated record. The transcript is spliced from 2 exons.